CUGCAGCGAUUAAGCCAACCUGCUCCUUUCCUCGUCAGGGGCUGGUGUGCAGUGGCUGCAAACAGCAGCCUCCUUGGUAGUAUACACAGCCCAUUGCUUGUAUGGGUUGCCCUAAGAGACCUUGGAGACAGCU
This is a small nucleolar RNA of Cynocephalus volans (Philippine flying lemur), 133 nucleotides long. RefSeq annotates it as small nucleolar RNA SNORA70. NCBI's taxonomy places the organism in Eukaryota, Metazoa, Chordata, Mammalia, Dermoptera, Cynocephalidae. The record is from RefSeq and is a predicted model, not a curated record. The transcript has a single exon.